AGCAGCCGCGGUAAUUCCAGCUCCAAUAGCGUAUAUUAAAGUUGUUGCAGUUAAAAAGCUCGUAGUUGAAUUUCGGGGUUAGUAGUUUGGUCGUGCCAAUGGUAUGUACUGGGCUCACUGAUUCCUCCUUCCUGAUGAACUGUAAUGCCAUUAAUUUGGUGUUGCAGGGAAACAGGACUGUUACUUUGAAAAAUUAGAGUGUUUAAAGCAAGCUAACGCUUGAAUACAUUAGCAUGGAAUAAUGAAAUAGGACGUUCGAACCUAUUUUGUUGGUUUCUAGGAUUGACGUAAUGAUUAAUAGGGAUAGUUGGGGGCAUUAGUAUUCAAUUGUCAGAGGUGAAAUUCUUGGAUUUAUUGAAGACUAACUACUGCGAAAGCAUUUGCCAAGGAUGUUUUCAUUAAUCAAGAACGAAAGUUAGGGGAUCGAAGACGAUCAGAUACCGUCGUAGUCUUAACCAUAAACUAUGCCGACUAGGGAUCGGAUGAUGUUAAUUUUUUAAUGACUCAUUCGGCGCCUUAC
Molecule: unclassified non-coding RNA, 520 nt
Filed under: uncultured Glomus
Lineage: Eukaryota; Fungi; Glomeromycota; Glomeromycetes; Glomerales; Glomeraceae
Description: SSU rRNA
Rfam family: Eukaryotic small subunit ribosomal RNA
Source: RNAcentral